RNAcentral lists this ribosomal RNA (423 nucleotides) under Triticum aestivum (bread wheat). RNAcentral describes it as "partial small subunit ribosomal RNA". Lineage: Eukaryota; Viridiplantae; Streptophyta; Magnoliopsida; Poales; Poaceae. The record is from RNAcentral.
AUGGCUCCUCCGUCCACCGACUCUGUCCGUGCAAGUGGCCAGUUUACUUCCGCCCCAACCUUCUCCACUGUCUCCCCAGUUCAUCCUUCGUCCACCCUUGCUGCUCGAGGUGCUCAUUUGCCAAGGCCUCGAGGAAGCCACGUGAGGAGGAGAGACCUCUCGAGAAGCUGCGGGAGGAGGGGCUCAACCAGAGAGGAGCAGAUGCCAGGUAGUCGGCUCGGCUGGACGCCGCCCUUCGUGUCCGGGCCGCGGCAGACCCUAGCGCCGUCCUUCAGGCGUCUUCACGGCUGCAGAUCUGCACUACAAGCUAAAGGCGCGCAAUCUGUAUAUUUUGUUCCAAUAAAGAAAUCUGGACCAUAUAGAAUGAUCAAUGAUAGGAUCCUGCUGCGUUCUAAUAAUGGAUUGUUCAAAGGAUCUGUUUAA